CGGGGAUUAGCUCACCAGCUGGAGCACCGGGCUCUGACCCCGGAGAAGGCGGGCGGCCCUGUCAUCCCCUGCCA
This 74-nucleotide transfer RNA is filed under the name Alphaproteobacteria bacterium. RNAcentral's name for it is "tRNA-Gln". The record is from RNAcentral. Lineage: Bacteria; Pseudomonadati; Pseudomonadota; Alphaproteobacteria.